RNAcentral lists this transfer RNA (71 nucleotides) under Agriotes hirayamai. Its description in RNAcentral is "tRNA-Trp". Lineage: Eukaryota; Metazoa; Arthropoda; Insecta; Coleoptera; Elateridae. The record is from RNAcentral.
AAGGAUUUAAGUUAAAUAAAACUAGUAACCUUCAAAGUUACCAACAAAGACUGCACCCACUUUAAGCCUUA